UGCUCGAAUGGCGGAAUUGGCAGACGCUGCGGACUUAAAAUCCGUUGGUUAUUAAACCGUGAGGGUUCAAGUCCCUCUUUGAGCAU
RNAcentral lists this transfer RNA (86 nucleotides) under Lactococcus lactis. RNAcentral describes it as "tRNA-Leu". It matches the Rfam family "tRNA". Rfam says of the family: Transfer RNA (tRNA) molecules are approximately 80 nucleotides in length. Their secondary structure includes four short double-helical elements and three loops (D, anti-codon, and T loops). The record is from RNAcentral. Lineage: Bacteria; Bacillati; Bacillota; Bacilli; Lactobacillales; Streptococcaceae.